GACGAACAGUGCGAACGUUGUUCGGAUUCACUGGGCUUAAAGGGCGCGUAGGCGGGUCAGCAAGUCCGGGGUGAAAGCUUUCGGCUCAACCGGAAAAGGGCCUUGGAUACUGCUGGUCUGGAGGAAGGUAGGGGCGUGUGGAACUUCCGGUGGAGCGGUGAAAUGCGUAGAUAUCGGAAGGAACGCCGGUGGCGAAAGCGACACGCUGGACCUUUUCUGACGCUGAGGCGCGAAAGCCAGGGGAGCAAACGG
This 252-nucleotide ribosomal RNA is filed under the name uncultured bacterium. Its description in RNAcentral is "partial 16S ribosomal RNA". It matches the Rfam family "Bacterial small subunit ribosomal RNA", at positions 524 to 775 of the family's 1533-position model. The record is from RNAcentral.